Long non-coding RNA from Brassica oleracea var. oleracea, 492 nucleotides. RefSeq lists it as uncharacterized. Lineage: Eukaryota; Viridiplantae; Streptophyta; Magnoliopsida; Brassicales; Brassicaceae. The record is from RefSeq and is a predicted model, not a curated record. The transcript is spliced from 2 exons.
UUUAUAAGCCAUAUAUCUGAAAUAUGUGCAUUGGAGAACUUUUUUCUAAUACAAAUAUUUACAGAGGCAUUGGGAGUGUACAUCUCGACCACGAGUACAACGACCACCUACCACACCAAAUGAGUUAUUUGAGAUAAUCCCAUCAACGAUAGUACUCAAAGAGUGACGAAUACGAGAUGAGCAACUGGAACUAGGGGUGGUAGCAGCAAGAGCAGGGGUUUCAAUAUCUGAAUGUCUUGGAGCAGUUGGGAACGCAAUAUCUGAAUGUCUUGGAGCAGUUGGGAACGGCCGAAUGGCCAUAUCAAGUUGACAAACUCUAAAUUUUAGGACAUCUAGUUGAAAAGGCGACGUGAGUUUAUUUGUUUAAAUAAUGCAAAUUGUAAUUAUGUUGUCUGCUUGCAUGUUUUAGUAAGUAACCUACUUAAAAGAUAAAAGUCAAAAGAUCAAUGGUCACAAAAAAAGUGAGAUCAAUUUCAAUAAUAUUAUUGUAAG